UACAGAGGGUGCGAGCGUUGUUCGGAAUUACUGGGCGUAAAGCGCGCGCAGGCGGCCCUUUAAGUCUGUCGGUCAAACGCCGGGGCUCAACCCCGUGCUCGCCGGAGAUACUGGAGGGCUGGAGACACGUAGAGGCAAGCGGAAUUCCGGGUGUAGCGGUGGAAUGCGUAGAGAUCCGGAAGAACACCGGAGGCGAAGGCGGCUUGCUGGGCGUAGUCUGACGCUGAGGCGCGAAAGCGUGGGGAGCGAACAGG
RNAcentral lists this ribosomal RNA (254 nucleotides) under uncultured bacterium. Its description in RNAcentral is "partial 16S ribosomal RNA". It matches the Rfam family "Bacterial small subunit ribosomal RNA", at positions 524 to 776 of the family's 1533-position model. The record is from RNAcentral.